Molecule: ribosomal RNA, 243 nt
Filed under: uncultured bacterium
Lineage: Bacteria
Description: partial 16S ribosomal RNA
Rfam family: Bacterial small subunit ribosomal RNA
Source: RNAcentral
GACGAAGGGGGCUAGCGUUGUUCGGAAUUACUGGGCGUAAAGCGUGUGUAGGUGGUUGUCAUAAGUCAGGCGUGAAAGCCUUGAGCUCAACUCAAGAAAUGCGCUUGAUACUGGGCAGCUAGAGGACCGGAGAGGAUAGUGGAAUUCCCAGUGUAGUGGUGAAAUGCGUAGAGAUCCGGAGGAACACCGACGGCGUAGGCAGCGCCCUGGCUGUGAAUAAGCUGACACUGAGGCCACGAAAGC